GGAGUUGUGGCUCAGUGGUAGAGUGCUUGCCUAGCAUGCAUGAGGCGCUGGGUUCCAACCUCAGCUCCA
Ictidomys tridecemlineatus (thirteen-lined ground squirrel) is the source of this 69-nucleotide non-coding RNA. The record is from Rfam. NCBI's taxonomy places the organism in Eukaryota, Metazoa, Chordata, Mammalia, Rodentia, Sciuridae.